RNAcentral lists this ribosomal RNA (421 nucleotides) under uncultured bacterium. Its description in RNAcentral is "bacterial SSU rRNA". It matches the Rfam family "Bacterial small subunit ribosomal RNA", at positions 356 to 774 of the family's 1533-position model. The record is from RNAcentral.
GAGGAAUAUUGGGCAAUGCCCGCAAGGGUGACCCAGCAACGCCGCGUGGAGGAUGAAUGUCGUAAGAUUGUAAACUCCUGUUAGAGGGGAAGAAUAGUACCGGUUGGACCGGUAUAUGACUGUACCCUCAGAGAAAGCCCCGGCUAACUACGUGCCAGCAGCCGCGGUAAUACGUAGGGGGCAAGCGUUGUCCGGAUUUACUGGGUGUAAAGGGCGCGCAGGCGGGAUAAAAAGUCAGUGGUGAAAUCCUACAGCUUAACUGUAGAGCUGCCUUUGAUACUUUUAUUCUUGAGUUCGGGAGAGAGAGACGGAAUUCCAGGUGUAGUGGUGAAAUACGUAGAUAUCUGGAAGAACACCAGUUGCGAAGGCGGUCUCUUGGUCCGACACUGACGCUGAGGCGCGAAAGCGUGGGGAGCAAACA